GACAAAAUACUAUCAAGAACUGAAGAAAAACCACAUGAAGGAACAUCACCAGUUAGUGCUGAUCAACCCGGCCCGUCAUCUGCACAGGUUUACCUGAUGCAGAGAAACAGCUGAGGCCUGUUUAACCACUGAGGGUCCCACAGGGAACAUUGAAAAAGUCAUGAG
Labrus bergylta (ballan wrasse) is the source of this 165-nucleotide non-coding RNA. The record is from RefSeq and is a predicted model, not a curated record. NCBI's taxonomy places the organism in Eukaryota, Metazoa, Chordata, Actinopteri, Labriformes, Labridae.